UGAGAAAUUUGCAGUCUCUGCUGAGUAACU
This 30-nucleotide non-coding RNA is filed under the name Rattus norvegicus (Norway rat). The record is from RNAcentral. Lineage: Eukaryota; Metazoa; Chordata; Mammalia; Rodentia; Muridae.